This 276-nucleotide unclassified non-coding RNA is filed under the name uncultured bacterium. RNAcentral describes it as "contains 16S-23S intergenic spacer region". The record is from RNAcentral.
ACCUCAUAUUAUUGAUGAGACUGUUGCUAUGCUGCUGCUGAAAAACAACUCUUAGAUCCUUCCACCAAGGGGAGAAGUCUACAUUGUUUCUACCAUAACAUAAAGCAUUCCACCCACCAUAUAUAUUUGGACAUCAAGAGUCUAGCCCAAAGCUGAUUCUGGUUAUUUGCCAAGUCCCAUCCCCAUUUACCAAUCAAGGCCUCAUUAAACUUGGACAUAUCUUUAAUCCCAAGCCCCCCUUUGCUCUUGGGAAGACAAACAGUAUCCUAAUUGACC